This 202-nucleotide long non-coding RNA is filed under the name Nicotiana benthamiana. RNAcentral's name for it is "long non-coding RNA (NBEN_LNC042575)". The record is from RNAcentral. Lineage: Eukaryota; Viridiplantae; Streptophyta; Magnoliopsida; Solanales; Solanaceae.
AUUGGUACUAGAUUGACCAAAAGUCUUUCUAUUUAUACAACAGGAAUUCAAACAGAAUUGAAGGAAAAUGAAUGUGAUAAGACAGAACAAAAUAUUAUUUGAAUUCCAAGUUUUAAUAGAAAUUUUUUAUUGACGAGCUUCAGCAAUUGCACUUAUUAAAGCAAUUAAAAGAAUUAUUGAAAUCAGUUCAAAUGGAAGAAAA